GUAACACGUUGGCCCAACCUACCCUAUGGACGAAGAAUACUCCUCGGGAAACUGAGGCUAAUUCUCGAUACAGCUUCCAUGCUGGAAUGCAGGAAGCUGGAAAUGCUCCGGCGCCAUAGGAUGUGGCUGCGGCCGAUUAGGUAGACGGUGGGGUAACGGCCCACCGUGCCAGUAAUCGGUACGGGUGAUGAGAGUCAGAGCCCGGAGACGGUAUCUGAGACAAGAUGCCGGGCCCUACGGGGCGCAGCAGGCGCGAAACCUUUACACUGCACGACAGUGCGAUAAGGAGACUCCGAGUGCGAGGGCAUACAGUCCUCGCUUUUCUGUACCGUAGGGUGGUACAGGAACAAGUGCUGGGCAAGACCGGUGCCAGCCGCCGCGGUAAUACCGGCAGCACAAGUGACGGCCGAUAUUAUUGGGCCUAAAGCGUUCGUAGCUGGCCAGUCAAGUCUGUUGGGAAAUCCACGUGCCCAACACGUGGGCGUCCAGCGGAAACUGACUGGCUUGGGGCCGGAAGACUCGAGGGGUACGUCCGGGGUAGGAGUGAAAUCCCGUAAUCCUGGACGGACCACCGGUGGCGAAAGCGCCUCGAGAAGACGGACCCGACAGUGAGGAACGAAAGCCAGGGUCUCGAACCGGAUUAGAUACCCGGGUAGUCCUGGCCGUAAACGAUGCUCGCUAGGUGGUGACGCAGGCUACGAGCCUGCGUUGUGCCGUAGGGAAGCCGUGAAGCGAG
RNAcentral lists this ribosomal RNA (736 nucleotides) under uncultured archaeon. Its description in RNAcentral is "bacterial SSU rRNA". It matches the Rfam family "Archaeal small subunit ribosomal RNA", at positions 93 to 823 of the family's 1478-position model. The record is from RNAcentral.